UUUCCGUAGGUGAACCUGCGGAAGGAUCAUUAUUGUAUAACCGAGGUGCGAGGGCUGUCGCUGACCCGAAAGGCCGUGCACGCCCGUGUGCUAACACGCACAUCUAUCUCAAUCCUAUGUGCCCCACCGCGCGGCUUCUUCUUUGGCUUGUUCGGAGGGGGGCUUACGAUUUAACACAAAAUUAGUAUGCACUGUCAAAAGUGUUUCUUGUUUUUGUGAUCACGAAAUCAAUACAACUUUCAACAACAGAUCUCUUGGUUAACGCAUCUAACAAGAACC
RNAcentral lists this unclassified non-coding RNA (279 nucleotides) under plant metagenome. Its description in RNAcentral is "partial contains small subunit ribosomal RNA, internal transcribed spacer 1, and 5.8S ribosomal RNA". The record is from RNAcentral.